GAAAUGCGAUACGUAGUGUGAAUUUUGCAGAAUUCCGUGAAUCAUCGAACCUUUGAACGCAUAUUGCGCUCGAGGCUUCGGCCAAGAGCAUGUCUGCCUCAGCGUCGGGUUAAUAUCAAUGCUCAAAUAAUUAUUUAUAAUUAUUGGCUGCAUUGGACCUGGCCGUUCCAGCGAGUCACUGGUAUGGGUUAACCCUACUGGUGGUCAAACGAGCUGGAUCGGCUGAAGCACAGAGUGCUGACCAAGGACCCUGCUAAGGGCCGCAACUGGGUAGGUUACCGCAAAGGGCUCUUGCCUGGCGCAGUAUAUCAACGCUUAGUUGUUGGUCUUGGGACUUUAGUCUGGCCCUCAACCCAGGAAACUAACCCUUAUUUUCUCGACCUGAGCUCAGGCAAGAACACCCGCUGAACUUAAGC
Molecule: unclassified non-coding RNA, 416 nt
Filed under: plant metagenome
Description: partial contains 5.8S ribosomal RNA, internal transcribed spacer 2, and large subunit ribosomal RNA
Rfam family: 5.8S ribosomal RNA (bases 1-107)
Source: RNAcentral